UACGUAGGGUGCGAGCGUUAAUCGGAAUUACUGGGCGUAAAGCGUGCGCAGGCGGUUUUGUAAGACAGGCGUGAAAUCCCCGGGCUCAACCUGGGAAUUGCGCUUGUGACUGCAAAGCUGGAGUGCGGCAGAGGGGGAUGGAAUUCCGCGUGUAGCAGUGAAAUGCGUAGAUAUGCGGAGGAACACCGAUGGCGAAGGCAAUCCCCUGGACCUGUACUGACGCUCAUGCACGAAAGCGUGGGGAGCAAACAGG
RNAcentral lists this ribosomal RNA (253 nucleotides) under uncultured bacterium. Its description in RNAcentral is "partial 16S ribosomal RNA". It matches the Rfam family "Bacterial small subunit ribosomal RNA", at positions 524 to 776 of the family's 1533-position model. The record is from RNAcentral.